CCUACGGGUGGCAGCAGUGGGGAAUAUUGGACAAUGGGCGAAAGCCUGAUCCAGCCAUGCCGCGUGUGUGAAGAAGGCCUUCGGGUUGUAAAGCACUUUCAGUGGGGAAGAAAGCCUUGGGGCUAAUACCCUCGAGGAGGACAUCACCCACAGAAGAAGCACCGGCUAACUCCGUGCCAGCAGCCGCGGUAAUACGGAGGGUGCGAGCGUUAAUCGGAAUUACUGGGCGUAAAGCGCGCGUAGGCGGUCUGAUAAGCCGGUUGUGAAAGCCCCGGGCUCAACCUGGGAACGGCAUCCGGAACUGUCAGGCUAGAGUGCAGGAGAGGAAGGUAGAAUUCCCGGUGUAGCGGUGAAAUGCGUAGAGAUCGGGAGGAAUACCAGUGGCGAAGGCGGCCUUCUGGACUGACACUGACGCUGAGGUGCGAAAGCGUGGGUAGCAAACAGGAUUAGAUACCCCGGUAGUC
This 464-nucleotide ribosomal RNA is filed under the name Vreelandella stevensii. Its description in RNAcentral is "partial 16S ribosomal RNA". It matches the Rfam family "Bacterial small subunit ribosomal RNA", at positions 338 to 795 of the family's 1533-position model. Lineage: Bacteria; Pseudomonadati; Pseudomonadota; Gammaproteobacteria; Oceanospirillales; Halomonadaceae. The record is from RNAcentral.